CAGCAGCCGCGGUAACACGUAGGUGGCAAGCGUUGUCCGGGAUUAUUGGGCGUAAAGGGCUCGCAGGCGGUUUCUUAAGUCUGAUGUGAAAGCCCCCGGCUCAACCGGGGAGGGUCAUUGGAAACUGGGAAACUUGAGUGCAGAAGAGGAGAGUGGAAUUCCACGUGUAGCGGUGAAAUGCGUAGAGAUGUGGAGGAACACCAGUGGCGAAGGCGACUCUCUGGUCUGUAACUGACGCUGAGGAGCGAAAGCGUGGGGAGCGAACAGGAUUAGAUACCCGGGUAGUCCCUGUCUCUUAUAC
This 301-nucleotide ribosomal RNA is filed under the name uncultured bacterium. RNAcentral's name for it is "partial 16S ribosomal RNA". It matches the Rfam family "Bacterial small subunit ribosomal RNA", at positions 509 to 807 of the family's 1533-position model. The record is from RNAcentral.